Molecule: ribosomal RNA, 497 nt
Filed under: uncultured bacterium
Lineage: Bacteria
Description: partial 16S ribosomal RNA
Rfam family: Bacterial small subunit ribosomal RNA
Source: RNAcentral
GAUGAACGCUGGCGGCGUGCCUAAUACAUGCAAGUCGAGCGAACGGACGAGAAGCUUGCUUCUCUGAUGUUAGCGGCGGACGGGUGAGUAACACGUGGAUAACCUACCUAUAAGACUGGGAUAACUUCGGGAAACCGGAGCUAAUACCGGAUAAUAUUAUGAACCGCAUGGUUCAAAAGUGAAAGACGGUCUUGCUGUCACUUAUAGAUGGAUCCGCGCUGCAUUAGCUAGUUGGUAAGGUAACGGCUUACCAAGGCAACGAUGCAUAGCCGACCUGAGAGGGUGAUCAGCCACACUGGAACUGAGACACGGUACAGACUACUACGGAAGGCAGCAGUGGGGAAUCUUCCGCAAUGGGCGAAAGCCUGACGGAGCAACGCCGCGUGAGUGAUGAAGGUCUUCGGGUCGUAAAACUCUGUUAUUAGGGAAGAACAUAUGUGUAAGUAACUGUGCACAUCUUGACGGUACCUAAUCAGAAAGCCACGGCUAACUACGUG